This 354-nucleotide ribosomal RNA is filed under the name uncultured bacterium. RNAcentral's name for it is "bacterial SSU rRNA". It matches the Rfam family "Bacterial small subunit ribosomal RNA", at positions 917 to 1267 of the family's 1533-position model. The record is from RNAcentral.
GGACCCGCACAAGUAGUGGAGCAUGUGGUUUAAUUCGAAGAUACGCGCAGAACCUUACCAACACUUGACAUGUUCGUCGCGACUCUAAGAGAUUGGAGUUUUCGGUUCGGCCGGACGAAACACAGGUGCUGCAUGGCUGUCGUCAGCUCGUGUCGUGAGAUGUUGGGUUAAGUCCCGCAACGAGCGCAACCCUCACUUUUAGUUGCCAUCAUUAAGUUGGGCACUCUGAAAGAACUGCCAGUGAUAAGCUGGAGGAAGGUGGGGGAUGACGUCAAGUCCUCAUGGCCCUUACGUGUUGGGCUACACACGUGCUACAAUGGUAUCUACAACAGGAAGCAAGACGGCGACGUUAAG